UACGAAGGGGGCUAGCGUUGUUCGGAAUGACUGGGCGUAAAGGGCGCGUAGGCGGCUUGUUUAGUCGGAUGUGAAAUUCCUGGGCUUAACCUGGGGGCUGCAUACGAGACGUAUGGGCUUGAGUGCGGAAGAGGGUCGUGGAAUUCCCAGUGUAGAGGUGAAAUUCGUAGAUAUUGGGAAGAACACCGGUGGCGAAGGCGGCGACCUGGUCCGUGACUGACGCUGAGGCGCGAAAGCGUGGGGAGCAAACAGG
Molecule: ribosomal RNA, 253 nt
Filed under: uncultured bacterium
Lineage: Bacteria
Description: partial 16S ribosomal RNA
Rfam family: Bacterial small subunit ribosomal RNA
Source: RNAcentral